This 400-nucleotide ribosomal RNA is filed under the name phytoplankton environmental sample. RNAcentral's name for it is "partial small subunit ribosomal RNA". It matches the Rfam family "Eukaryotic small subunit ribosomal RNA", at positions 587 to 991 of the family's 1831-position model. The record is from RNAcentral.
AGCUCCAAUAGCGUAUAUUAAAGUUGUUGCGGUUAAAAAGCUCGUAGUUGGAGUUCUGCCAGGUGACACUCGUCCGCCCAAGUGGUGUGUACAGGGUGUGCAUCUGGCCCUUUCAAGGGGAACGUGUCUGCACUUCAUUGUGUGGUGCGAGAUCCUUGACUUUUACUUUGAGGAAAUAAGAGUGUUCCAAGCAGGCUCUCGUCGUGCAUAGCUCAGCAUGGAAUAAUAGCAUUGGACUUCGUUUCUACGCUGUUGGUUGCAAGAAGCGAGGUAAUGAUGAAGAGGGAUAGUUGGGGGCAUUCGUAUUUAACUGUCAGAGGUGAAAUUCUUGGAUUUGUUAAAGACGAACUACUGCGAAAGCAUCUGCCAUGGAUGUUUUCAUUGAUCAAGAACGAAAGUA